Molecule: long non-coding RNA, 2674 nt
Filed under: Sorghum bicolor (sorghum)
Lineage: Eukaryota; Viridiplantae; Streptophyta; Magnoliopsida; Poales; Poaceae
Description: long non-coding RNA (SBIC_LNC010166)
Source: RNAcentral
CACUGGACUCCUGGUGGUGUCCCCACUUGUCAUGUGAAGUGUUGUCCAAAGUUGAGUCUGGUUGCACACUUGCUUGCUUCCAUGUGGGCCCAAGGAUCCAUGUGCUAAGUGUUUGAACUGUUGAGGGCAAGCACACUUGGAUCCAAGGGUUGGGAUUGACUCCUUGGGUUCAUGCCAUGGAGGGGAUCCCCUGGUGGGCCCAAACCUCGGUCGGCCGACCGAGGUUAUGGGGCCCAUAUGGCUCAUUUCCUUCUUCCCUGCAUUGAACAAGCUAAGAGUACAAGUGGAACUUUAUUAGUGAUAAAUAUGUUCAUGUGAUGCUUAUCUUCCUUCAAUCGAGGACUGUUGAUGGGCUUUUGAGUAUAUAGAACUAGGUCUUAUUUCCCGUCAACAAGAACCCCCACACUUAAGUCUUUGCUCGUCCUCGAGCAAAGGUUAGAGAAAGAUAACCUAUGAUUAUGACACUUUUAAGAUAUGAGCAAACACAAAGACUACUCAAGACAUAUCUUAUACAAGUGGGUUAUGUGGCACUGUCUAACAUAUAUCCUUAGGAUGUUGAAAAAUGGAACAAUUCUCAAAGCAAAGUCAUCUUCCCAUUUUCAUAUCCUUAGUACUUAGAGUUUUUGAUAAAUGUUUUAAAAGAAAGCACAUUGUUCAUCCUUACCCCUCUAACAGUAUUCUCAAGUCACUCAGUAAGUAUAGGAUUCCUCACCAAGGCAUAGCAUAAGAUUGCCUUCUUUUGUUUCAUCCUACAUCUAUUAGGCUUAUGGGGCCCAGGUAGGGGGAAACAAGAUAGAAUACUUUCAUUGUAUCUAUUGUAAAGUCAAAACAAGGAUCCAAGGAGAAGAAUGUCAUAAUCCUAUAUCAAGAUGUGUAAGUGUGUGAAAAAUGAUUAGAAUAGAAUGCUCCUAUAUUUGAUAAGAUCUCUCUCUCUAUUUUAUUUGAGACAUGGCUAGCUUUUUUAUUUUUUUUUCUUUUCUCUCUUUUUUUCAAAAGCAAUGGACCUUCAUGUGCCCACUUUUUUUACUAAGCAUAGCCUUUGUGUCUCAUCUUAUAACCAAUACUUAGAGAGAGAUAUUCUAAACCUUAAAACAUGGAGCAUCUAUAUAGUGGAAAUACAUGGCAUGUUUUUUGCAUACUUCAAAUGUAGAAGCAGCAUAUAUAUGUGGUGUGUGUGUGAUCUUGAUCUUGGGACUAUGACAUAAUUCUCAACUAGGGUUACAAGGUUUGACUAAAGUCAAUACAAGUACAAGUAGCAUAUAUAGAAGGGUUUUGAAUAAGGUAUGAGCAUAUAUGGCUGUGGUAGGAAUUCUCUUACUAUUGAGGAGUAAGUGACACUAUGGUUUUGUUGACAGUCCUUAAUGCUAACAUUUAACCGUCAACUAACCAUGGAAAAGGACCUAUAUGCAACCAACAUCCAAAAUUAGGGUUUCAUGUGACAAAAUUCCAUGAGUUUUGGUGUUUGUCUAUUUCUACAGGGGGUUAUCAGGAAAUAAGGAGGAAAGGCCCACACGUCGGGUUUACAUAGAGAUAUUAACGUGUGCGGCAAUUUUCUAUCAUCUAGAAGACUCCAGAAGCCACGGGAACGAAGCGGAGGCAGAACGGGGCCUGGCCUAGGGCGCCCGCCCUAGGGACCAGGGCGCCCGCCCUCCUGUAGUGCCCAAUCAGGGUCAACUUUGCGGAUCAUGCUCCACCGACCUAAGGGAUCAAGGAAAACCGUGUGAUUAAUGUCGGUUUGAUCUGACGGCCCACAUUCAUUUGGAAGGACUAUAUAAGCAGACCCCCUGGCCCCUGGAGAACAUACCUCUUCUACAGAAUCAAAGCUAGGGUUUCAAUUAUUCAUCCAAGUAGAGAGGAUCCCUCUAGUUCAUCUAGUUCUAGUUCUAGUUCUUCUAGUUCUAGUUCUAGUUAGUUCUAGUUGUAAUCUAGAAAAUAGGGAGAGAGAAGAGGAGAGCGGAGGAGGAGUCGGAUCUGUCGGAUCUUCCUCAACAUUGUACUUUUGCAGCAACUGGUUCGUUCUUCAUCGUUCUCUAAGUUCUUCAAUUCAUAAUUCCUGAGUUCCUUAAUUACUUUUAUUUACAUUCAAGUUAUUUACUAGAUUCCUGCUUGCAUCAAGUGCUCUAGUCUUUAUAACGCUAGAGUAGUAAUUAAUAGAUUAGACGUGGUGUUUAGUCUUGCAAUUACCUGGAAUUGCACCCAAUCCUGCGGAUUGUUGUGGUAGCCCUAGGGUAGUGACAGCCCUAACGGUCGACGUAUCCCACCUCGUUCGGAUCGGUGUUUGUAGGACCGUAGUCAGAGCUUCCUAGCGCUCUUCUGAUCUCUUUCUGUGGUUAGUGUUCUGAUGUCCCGAAAUAAAUAAUCUUUGAAGUAAUUCUUGAUUCUUAGAUCAACUAGAGAACUCUCAGGAAACUUCCUCUCUUUCCACCAAAAAUAAUUAUAUAGUUAUCCUUGGGCGAUCUUGAAUCUUAAUUAGUACACUCAUGUUCCCUAUGGAAAAUCGAUACUCUGGAAUACUCCUGGGUGAAAGCUACAUUGGUAUCCGUGCGCAUGCGGAUUUUUCUGUUUGCGUUUAAAAUACCAAACAAGCUUUCUAGCGCCGUUGCCGGGGAACGGUAGCUGUGCUAGUUUCGAACCAAGUCGUCCGUGUAUCCUUUUUCUUUUCCUUUUUUACCAC